This is a long non-coding RNA of Xenia sp. Carnegie-2017, 771 nucleotides long. RefSeq lists it as uncharacterized. Lineage: Eukaryota; Metazoa; Cnidaria; Anthozoa; Malacalcyonacea; Xeniidae. The transcript has 6 exons. The record is from RefSeq and is a predicted model, not a curated record.
AGUGAUUACAAUUGCAAUUAAAUUGGCGAUAUACUAUACCUUUCUUUUCCAAACUUAUUUUUCAACUUUAUCCGCAAAUAUGCUUAUAACUUAUGUGGUGUAUGGUUGUGGAAAUAGUACAAGAAAUGGAAACUUUUCAUGGCACCGCUUUCCAGACGCAGCAAAACACCCACAUCUCCAAAACAUGUGGGUGUCUAGCAUUAAGCAAAACUCACAAAGAAUGAAUGAGUUUGCCCAAAAGAAAUGGAGUCUGAUUUGUUCAGAACAUUUUUCUGACCAUAUGAAGGGAAAAGUCGGGAAUAGAGUUGUGUUAAAGCUGAAUGCGGUGCCAACUAUAUUCAAAAAUGCUGUGUUUAAUUUAGCAUUGCCUCAUCCAAGCCCAAUCCGCAAUGGGAAUAAUCCAAUUGAUGGUGAUCCAGGAUUCACUCAAGAUGCAUUUGUUGCACUGAAAUUUAAGGCUGAAGAAGCAAAAAAGGAAGUGUAAUGGAAGUGGAGGAUGCUACUACAGACCAUCGAAAGAGGCCACAAAAAGAAAAAAUCAUGUGGUCAUCCUAUGGUAUCUCUACCAAUUCUCAUUCCACUAAAAAAACUUCCAGUAGUGCCAGUACAAUUAUAUUGAAAUUGGAAAUGAAAUACAACAAAUUUUUUUUAACCUACUUGAUUUAUAUUAUUGUAAUACUUUUAUUAUUUUACAUAUGGAAGAAACAAAUUUAAUGGACAUGAAGAAGAACAUGCAAUUACGGAGAGAGAUAGAAGAAACAAAUUUCCAUG